Molecule: ribosomal RNA, 643 nt
Filed under: uncultured bacterium
Lineage: Bacteria
Description: bacterial SSU rRNA
Rfam family: Bacterial small subunit ribosomal RNA
Source: RNAcentral
CGCGGCCUAUCAGCUUGUUGGUGGGGUAGUGGCUUACCAAGGCUUUGACGGGUAGCCGGCCUGAGAGGGUGACCGGCCACAUUGGGACUGAGAUACGGCCCAGACUCCUACGGGAGGCAGCAGUGGGGAAUAUUGCACAAUGGGCGGAAGCCUGAUGCGGCAACGCCGCGUGCGGGAUGACGGCCUUCGGGUUGUAAACCGCUUUCGCCUGUGACGAAGCGUGAGUGACGGUAAUGGGUAAAGAAGCACCGGCUAACUACGUGCCAGCAGCCGCGGUGAUACGUAGGGUGCGAGCGUUGUCCGGAUUUAUUGGGCGUAAAGGGCUCGUAGGUGGUUGAUCGCGUCGGAAGUGUAAUCUUGGGGCUUAACCCUGAGCGUGCUUUCGAUACGGGUUGACUUGAGGAAGGUAGGGGAGAAUGGAAUUCCUGGUGGAGCGGUGGAAUGCGCAGAUAUCAGGAGGAACACCAGUGGCGAAGGCGGUUCUCUGGGCCUUUCCUGACGCUGAGGAGCGAAAGCGUGGGGAGCGAACAGGCUUAGAUACCCUGGUAGUCCACGCUGUAAACGGUGGGUACUAGGUGUGGGGUCCAUUCCACGGGUUCCGUGCCGUAGCUAACGCUUUAAGUACCCCGCCUGGGGAGUACGG